CCUACGGGUGGCAGCAGUGAGGAAUAUUGGUCAAUGGACGCAAGUCUGAACCAGCCAUGCCGCGUGGAGGAAGAAGGCUCUAUGAGUUGUAAACUGCUUUUGUACGAGAGUAAACGCAGAUAAGCGAAUCUGUAUGAAACGAUCGUACGAAUAAGGAUCGGCUAACUCCGUGCCAGCAGCCGCGGUAAUACGGAGGAUUCAAGCGUUAUCCGGAUUUAUUGGGUUUAAAGGGUGCGUAGGCGGUCGGAUAAGUUAGAUGUGAAAUCCCGAGGCUCAACUUCGGAAUUGCCUCUGAUACUGUUAGGCUAGAGAGUAGUUGCGGUAGGCGGAAUGUAUGGUGUAGCGGUGAAAUGCGUAGAGAUCAUAAAGAACACCGAUUGCGAAGGCAGCUUACCAAGCUACUUCUGACGUUGAGCCACGAAAGCGUGGGGAGCAAACAGGAUUAGAUACCCCUGUAGUC
RNAcentral lists this ribosomal RNA (460 nucleotides) under uncultured bacterium. Its description in RNAcentral is "partial 16S ribosomal RNA". It matches the Rfam family "Bacterial small subunit ribosomal RNA", at positions 338 to 795 of the family's 1533-position model. The record is from RNAcentral.